Molecule: long non-coding RNA, 1631 nt
Organism: Monodelphis domestica (gray short-tailed opossum)
Lineage: Eukaryota; Metazoa; Chordata; Mammalia; Didelphimorphia; Didelphidae
Source: Ensembl
AAGACUGCUCAAAAUCUCCUCAGAGCUCAGAACUUCAGUUGGAAACCCUGGCCUGAGAAUUCCAACAGAUUUUUAUCUCUCAUUCUAAACUGGUUUAAGAUCAUUUGACAGAAUUUUUCUCUCCUGCCACUUAACUUAUCAGAAAACUAUUCCAAAUCCUAUUCAAUAAUAUUCCCAAUAAUCUACAUGUAAAAAUAAAAUUUAAAUCACAUUUUAAAAAAGAAUUAUUGAGAAGGGAAGAAUGUCUUUGCCAGGAACACCCCAUGGUCAGCAUGGUCCAUAGCAUCAUGAAGAGCUGGAUAUGACUUAAUGACUGAACAAAGGCUGAAUAGUUGCAUUGAUCCUAUGGAUCCUGGUAUCACAUUGAGCUGUGUUAGGAAACCUAUGGAAUUCAUGCAGGAGGGAGCUGUUUCCUUUCACCUCUCCACAAGAGACUGAGAACAUUUCUCACAUCCACCCCUCUGUACAGCAGCCCAAUGGAAGAGCUUCCCUCAUCCACUGUCUGGGGGUGUGAAGGUAUAAAAUGUGAAGUAGAUAUAUACUACUGCUUAUUAUACAUGGCAAGUUGUAUGGCAAGAUUUUUGUGUGUAGAGAAACCACAUGAAACCACUAACAAAUGUUGGCUCUCUUGUCCGGAGAGUAUUGAGUGUGCAAAGGUAGAGUGUUACUAUGCUGAGGAGCACAACAAUAGCUACCACAGUUUAUGUGCUGCUGGAUGGACUUGCAAAACCUUCCUAUUGAAUAUUAAUGGUUGCGAAGAAAAUGGAUACCAGCAUGGAGCUAUCUGUGAAGAUGGAAUUAAUGAAUACAGGUGUGGGUGUCUUCAAGGAGGUGAUGGAUUCUUCUGCGGAAUAAAGACAAAUAUGUGUGUGUCUGAGACCUGUAAAAAUGGAUCUACCUACAUGUGUUUAAAUGACCAUGUCUUCUGGCAGUGUGACACUGGAUUUAUAGGAGGAGCCUCCUGUUGUUCAUUUAAUAUAAAUGGGAAUACUUGUGAACUCAUUUGAUAAAAACAACAUCUACAUUCUAUUCCAGGACAAAUGUGGAAGAAUAAGGGAUUUGUCACAACAUCUGGAAAAAAGGAUAGCAUAUGAGAACCAACUCUUAGAAGAAGUGAACUUGCCAAAGGAAGUGGUGGUGAUUCAUUACAAGGCUCACUUCUCUGGCAAGGAUGAGGUAUUCCUAGGAAAUCACAGGGUUGAUGUAACAGCAAGAUUCGCUGCAAGAUUUGGUCCUAUCUAUGUUCUGAAUUUCUCUCUGGUGGAUAAGCAUGAUCUCAAGCAAACAUACUUCCAAGAGGAGAUUCGGGCAUGGCAAGAACAUCUAGGGGCCAGAUUAGUCAAAGGAAUCUGUUUAUCACAAAGAGGGAAAGUCCAUCUUGCCCAAAAGGCUGUACUAACAUCUAUGCAAUGUAAUUCAUUCCAGAGGUCAUUACAGAGUGCAAUCCAUGCUAGAUGAGGUCUGCCUGUUUUGGGAAGGUCCAGGGAUAUCAAAUAUAUAACUAUAUAUACAUAUAUAUAUAUAUACAUAUAUAUAUAUAUAUAUAUAUAUAAGAUAUAUAACAAAUGUUAUAAGAGUGUGUCAGGCAUGUGACAUCUGUAGAAAGUUUAAUAAAGGUCAUUUCAAAAGCA